RNAcentral lists this transfer RNA (78 nucleotides) under Cellvibrio japonicus Ueda107. RNAcentral's name for it is "tRNA-Trp". It matches the Rfam family "tRNA". Rfam says of the family: Transfer RNA (tRNA) molecules are approximately 80 nucleotides in length. Their secondary structure includes four short double-helical elements and three loops (D, anti-codon, and T loops). The record is from RNAcentral. Lineage: Bacteria; Pseudomonadati; Pseudomonadota; Gammaproteobacteria; Cellvibrionales; Cellvibrionaceae.
UAGGCCAGUAGUUCAGUUGGUAGAGCGUCGGUCUCCAAAACCGAAUGUCGGGGGUUCGAGUCCCUCCUGGCCUGCCAA